Long non-coding RNA from Oncorhynchus nerka (sockeye salmon), 1843 nucleotides. RefSeq lists it as uncharacterized. The record is from RefSeq and is a predicted model, not a curated record. The transcript has 3 exons. NCBI's taxonomy places the organism in Eukaryota, Metazoa, Chordata, Actinopteri, Salmoniformes, Salmonidae.
UCACCGUGGCUACAGAGCUUCUAUGACCCUGGCCACAGCCAAGUUUAAAGGCUACUAACCUACGUAAGAUUUAAUAACCUUUAAAACCAUGACCAUAGAGAGACCUGUCAACGAAUACAGCAAAGAUCUGCAGUUUUUGAGAAAAACAUGUGCAUGAGGCAGAUGCGGUGCGACUCGGGUUUCGCCAUUUGAUGGAAGACUGUGUCCCUUCUCGCUGGUCAGUCUCACCGGAGGAAAGGAAGGAUCGUUUUGAACGGUCAUCCAACUCGGAAUUCCAAGUCAGAAACUCGGCAUCUUUCUAGAGCUCCGACUUUUCGACCUGAAGAUCACUCACGUUGUGAUUUGACCUCGUUGACCAUCAGAUGCAGUAGUUACUGUCUUGUCUCAUCGCUGCAACUCCCGUACGGACUCGGGAGAGGCGAAGGUCGAGAGCCAUGCGUCCUCCGAAACACAACCCAACCAAGCCGCACUGCUUCUUGACACAAUACACAUCCAACCCGGAAGCCGCACUAAUGUGUCGGAGGAAACACCGUACACCUGGAGACCUGGUCAGCGUGCACUGCAACAGGCAUGACACAGGAGUCGCUAGUGCGCAAUGAGACAAGGAUAUCCCUGCCGGACAAACCCUCCCCAACCCAGACGACGCUGUGCCAAUUGUGCGCCGCCCCAUGGGCCUCCCGGUCGCGGCCGACUGCGACAGAGCCUGGGCUCAAACCUAGAAUCUCUGGUGGACAGCUAGCACUGCGAUGCAGUGCCUUAGGCCACUGCGCCACCUGGGAGGCUCAACUUCAUAAUUCUAUGCACUAUGAAUUUUUCUAGAAUCUUUACAUCACAACACUGAAGUGUAAGGGGCCUCCAAUUUUUUUACUGGACUGGAUUUUAUAUUUACCACUUGGAUCCUGUUUGAGUAAAUUGAGUAUCUGAUAAUCUACCAUUUUUAUAGGAGUGGUUAAAACAUGCAAAUAACGGUCUUCUGAGUACAUCAAAAAAGGUUUGGUGUACCUCAACUGUUAUGCCAUCCAGCCCUGAUGUUUUCCCGGACUUAAAGGCUUUAAUUGCAUCAAGAAGUUGGAUGGAGGAGACUGAAACGAGUACUUUUGUAAGGAUCGACGCUGGUAGAGACGAGAAGCAGGUACAGGGAGUGAACAUUUAAUAUCAACGGACAUGGAACAGGACAGGACAGCGUCUGGACAUGAACACAUAAUGACAAUAAUGCUGACACAGGGAACAAACGGGGGAGCAGACAAAAAUAGGGAAGGCAAUCAACAAAGUGAAGGAGUCCAGGUGAGUCCAAUGAGCGCUGAUGCGCGUAAUGAUGGUGACAGGUGUGCGUAAUGAAGGUGUGCGCAACCUGGCGCCCUUGAGUGCCAGAGAGGGAGAGCGGGAGCAGGCAUGACAACUUUGCUCCCUCUUCCAAAAUAUUGUUUGAUGAAUCAUGGGGGACUCCGUCAUUUGUAAGUUUCAAUAAAUUAGGUUGAGAUGAAAAAAUAAUGUGGUGCAUUUUUCCCCAUAUUCCAUCCAGUUCACUUUAUUUUUUGUCAUAUAUUACACUUGAUCUUUCUUGAAUAAGUUCCUCCAUUUAUUUUAGUUUUUCCUCUUAACAUAUUCUGUGCCUCUAUGGUACAGUUUUUAUUGCUAUCUGUACUGUUUGUCCCUCUAUUUCCUUUGGUAAUAUGAGUUCUUUUGACUUAAAUUGCUUUUGUUUUAAAGUUGAGUAUUGAAUUACAUGACCUCUAAAUGCACAUUUAAGUGUCCCAUAGAUUAAGGGGAUCUGCUGUGCCUAUAUUAUGUCAGAAAAAGUAAGUUAUAAAUGAUUCUGUCCUGGUUAAAAACAAGGUUUUAU